This 1029-nucleotide long non-coding RNA is filed under the name Sinocyclocheilus anshuiensis. Its description in RNAcentral is "lncRNA (ENSSANG00000001437.1)". The record is from RNAcentral. Lineage: Eukaryota; Metazoa; Chordata; Actinopteri; Cypriniformes; Cyprinidae.
GCCCUGUAGUGUAUUACAUUUCUUGAUCAAUUGUUAGAAUUUGGCAUGAAAGAUGACACAUUUAAUAAGGUAAAAAAACUAUUGGCCUUUAUAAAGGUAAAUGACAUCCUGUGGUAAAAACAUGCAGUUUUAAGUAUGUAAAAGCUGAUAGAAAACUGAUGAAAAUAUUUCUUCAGAAUAAAUGGUUUACACCACCAAAAAUCUCAGUCAUGCGACACUUUUGUGGGAAUAUUUUGUAUGGGAUAUUGUCUGCUGAUAUGAAAAGUUCACUGUAUAUCGUAAUAACAAAUAGCAUUUUUGACAGCGAUGAUAUUUUGUUUUCUUUUUACAUUUAAACGUGUUAAAUAUUACAUAUAUGUAUGUAAUAUAAUGUGUAUUUCCAUCACAGGUCUGGUCUUAAAUUUCACAUAAGGUGGUAUUAAAAAGGUCUUAAAAAGUCUUAAAUUUAACUUGUUCAUAUCUGUAGACACCCUGCAACAUAUUUUGAAGAAAAUCCACACAGCUUUUCCAUGCAAUGAUGUUCAUAAUGAACAAAAAAAAAACUAAAAGUAGUUAAUAUCUCUCAUGCUGUAAUUUGUAAAAUCAUUAUUACUAGAAAGCUGUUAUGGCUUCAGAAGAAAUUGAAUAUAGUGCAUUGACCAUUUAUUUAUUUUUUUGGUGCUUGACUGAUGAAUGGUUGUAUAUAAAUGCAAAUUGUCAUUCAUAAUGUGUCACAGUCCCUCCCUUUCAAAGAGCUUGACUAAAUGUGGUGUUCUGCAGGUCUUGAGGGAGAGAGACCGGCUCGUCUGGCCCGUGGCGAGGGAGACAGAGACGCUUACAGACGGUCUGCAGCUCCGCCUGGUGCAGACAAGAAGGCUGAAGCUGGUGCAGGUGCAGCCACAGAAUUCCAGUUUAGAGGUGGUUUUGGCCGUGGCCGAGGACAACAGCCACAGUAAUCUUCCACAUUAUCUGUACAAUAAAGGUUUAAAAGUACUGCUGUGUCCGACUUCUUCAUAUAUUGGUUUCAGAUACUUAUGAAUGCAUUCAUUG